RNAcentral lists this ribosomal RNA (639 nucleotides) under uncultured Actinomycetes bacterium. RNAcentral describes it as "bacterial SSU rRNA". It matches the Rfam family "Bacterial small subunit ribosomal RNA", at positions 232 to 885 of the family's 1533-position model. Lineage: Bacteria; Bacillati; Actinomycetota; Actinomycetes. The record is from RNAcentral.
CGCGGCCUAUCAGCUUGUUGGUGAGGUAACGGCUCACCAAGGCAUCGACGGGUAGCUGGUCUGAGAGGAUGAUCAGCCACACUGGGACUGAGACACGGCCCAGACUCCUACGGGAGGCAGCAGUAGGGAAUAUUGCACAAUGGGCGAAAGCCUGAUGCAGCAACGCCGCGUGCGGGAAGAAGGCCCUAGGGUUGUAAACCGCUUUCAGCAGGGAAGAAAAUGACGGUACCUGCAGAAGAAGCGCCGGCCAACUACGUGCCAGCAGCCGCGGUAAUACGUAGGGCGCAAGCGUUGUCCGGAUUUAUUGGGCGUAAAGGGCUCGUAGGCGGUUUGGUAAGUCGGGUGUGAAAACUCAGGGCUCAACUCUGAGACGCCACUCGAUACUGCCAUGACUAGAGUCCGGUAGGGGAGUGCGGAAUUCCUGGUGUAGCGGUGAAAUGCGCAGAUAUCAGGAGGAACACCAACAGCGAAGGCAGCACUCUGGGCCGGUACUGACGCUGAGGAGCGAAAGCGUGGGGAGCGAACAGGAUUAGAUACCCUGGUAGUCCACGCCGUAAACGGUGGGAACUAGAUGUGGGGUCCGUUCCACGGAUUCCGUGUCGCAGCUAACGCAUUAAGUUCCCCGCCUGGGGAGUACGG